Molecule: long non-coding RNA, 203 nt
Filed under: Linum usitatissimum (flax)
Lineage: Eukaryota; Viridiplantae; Streptophyta; Magnoliopsida; Malpighiales; Linaceae
Description: long non-coding RNA (LUSI_LNC000076)
Source: RNAcentral
UCAUAUUCAUGCACGACAGAUGUUAAAAAUGAAUUCUCCUCUUAAAAUGUAAUUCAGGGUUGAUGAAUUGGUAAUCUAGAUUUGGAAUUUGAUGAAUUGAUGAACUGGGAUAUGAAAAUAGAAUUGAUAAUCCACCCAUGGAUCAUCCAAAUCCAAUUUAUAUCCGACUAUUUAACAUUCAUAAAUCUAUAUUCAAUACAUCC